CAGUCGCCACGGGAUACGUAGGUGGCAAGCGUUGUCCGGAAUUAUUGGGCGUAAAGCGCGCGCAGGCGGAUCAGUCAGUCUGUCUUAAAAGUUCGGGGCUUAACCCCGUGAUGGGAUGGAAACUGCUGAUCUAGAGUAUCGGAGAGGAAAGUGGAAUUCCUAGUGUAGCGGUGAAAUGCGUAGAUAUUAGGAAGAACACCAGUGGCGAAGGCGACUUUCUGGACGAAAACUGACGCUGAGGCGCGAAAGCCAGGGGAGCGAACGGGAUUAGAUACCCCGGUAGUCCCUGUCUCUUAUACAC
This 301-nucleotide ribosomal RNA is filed under the name uncultured bacterium. RNAcentral's name for it is "partial 16S ribosomal RNA". It matches the Rfam family "Bacterial small subunit ribosomal RNA", at positions 509 to 810 of the family's 1533-position model. The record is from RNAcentral.